UACGUAGGGGGCAAGCGUUGUCCGGAAUCAUUGGGCGUAAAGAGCGCGUAGGCGGUCCGGUAAGUCCGCUCUGAAAGUCCGGGGCUCAACCCCGGGAGGCGGGCGGAUACUGUCGGGCUAGAGUCCGGAAGAGGCGAGUGGAAUUCCUGGUGUAGCGGUGAAAUGCGCAGAUAUCAGGAUGAACACCAAUGGCGAAGGCAGCUCGCUGGGACGGUACUGACGCUGAGGAGCGAAAGCGUGGGGAGCGAACAGG
Molecule: ribosomal RNA, 253 nt
Filed under: uncultured bacterium
Lineage: Bacteria
Description: partial 16S ribosomal RNA
Rfam family: Bacterial small subunit ribosomal RNA
Source: RNAcentral